GAUGAACGCUGGCGGCGUGCCUAAUACAUGCAAGUCGAGCGAACAGACGAGGAGCUUGCUCCUCUGACGUUAGCGGCGGACGGGUGAGUAACACGUGGAUAACCUACCUAUAAGACUGGGAUAACUUCGGGAAACCGGAGCUAAUACCGGAUAAUAUAUUGAACCGCAUGGUUCAAUAGUGAAAGACGGUUUUGCUGUCACUUAUAGAUGGAUCCGCGCCGCAUUAGCUAGUUGGUAAGGUAACGGCUUACCAAGGCAACGAUGCGUAGCCGACCUGAGAGGGGGUUGGGCACCACGGAACUGGGGACACGGUCAAGACUCCAAGGGAAGGCAGCGGUAGGGAAUCUUCGGCAAGGGGGGAAAGCUUGACGAAGCAACGCCGGGGGGGUGAGGAAGGGCUUCGGAUCGUAAAACGCGGUUAUUGGGGAAGAACAAAUUUGUAAGUAACUAUGCAGGUCUGAAGGGUACCAAAUAAGAAGGCCAGGCCUAACUACGU
This 496-nucleotide ribosomal RNA is filed under the name uncultured bacterium. Its description in RNAcentral is "partial 16S ribosomal RNA". It matches the Rfam family "Bacterial small subunit ribosomal RNA", at positions 28 to 506 of the family's 1533-position model. The record is from RNAcentral.